Drosophila melanogaster (fruit fly) is the source of this 162-nucleotide small nucleolar RNA. NCBI's taxonomy places the organism in Eukaryota, Metazoa, Arthropoda, Insecta, Diptera, Drosophilidae. The record is from Ensembl.
AUGGCGCUUCGUAGAACUAAAUCGCUGCGCUCGUUGAGCAUUAUGCUUUUUGGUGGGAAAAAACUGUGCCAGAUCAAAACUGUUGUUGCACUGGUGCGGCCGUGAAGGCAACGUUGUGUGGCAUCCAUGCCCACAACGCCCCACCGGCAACUUCAGACAAUC